GUCCUGGCAGUAAACGGUGCACGCUUGGUAUGGGGAAUCGACCCCUCCCGUGCCGGAGCUAACGCGUUAAGCGUGCCGCCUGGGAAGUACGGUCGCAAGAUUAAAACUCAAAGAAAUUGACGGGACCCGCACAAGCGGUGGAGUAUGUGGCUUAAUUCGAUGCAACGCGAAGAACCUUACCUGGGCUUGACAUGCAUCUCUCAAAACGGUGAAAGCCGUGGAUAGGAGCAAUCCUAAAUUUGCACAGGUGUUGCAUGGCUGUCGU
This 265-nucleotide ribosomal RNA is filed under the name uncultured bacterium. Its description in RNAcentral is "partial 16S ribosomal RNA". It matches the Rfam family "Bacterial small subunit ribosomal RNA", at positions 793 to 1055 of the family's 1533-position model. The record is from RNAcentral.